UUCUUAGAAUAAUAUGUCCCAUGCAAUAUUUGGGAAGUACUUAUACUAAAA
This 51-nucleotide microRNA precursor is filed under the name Otolemur garnettii (small-eared galago). RNAcentral's name for it is "mir-1302 microRNA precursor family". It matches the Rfam family "mir-1302 microRNA precursor family". The record is from Rfam by way of RNAcentral. Lineage: Eukaryota; Metazoa; Chordata; Mammalia; Primates; Galagidae.